This 522-nucleotide ribosomal RNA is filed under the name uncultured bacterium. RNAcentral's name for it is "bacterial SSU rRNA". It matches the Rfam family "Bacterial small subunit ribosomal RNA", at positions 8 to 507 of the family's 1533-position model. The record is from RNAcentral.
AGAGUUUGAUCCUGGCUCAGAGCGAACGUUAGCGGCAGGCUUAACACAUGCAAGUCGAGCGACAAAGGGGCUUCGGCCCUGAGUAGAGCGGCGGACGGGUGCGUAACACGUGGAUAAUCUGCCUCGUGGCGGGGGAUAACAGUCCGAAAGGACUGCUAAUACCGCAUGUCAGGUCGGAAACCCCGGUUUCUGACGAAAAAAGAGGGCGCCCGCAAGGGGCUCUCACCACGAGAUGAGUCCGCGGCCCAUCAGCUAGUUGGCGGUGUAAUAGACCACCAAGGCUAAGACGGGUAGCUGGUCUGAGAGGAUGACCAGCCACACUGGGACUGAGACACGGCCCAGACUCCUACGGGAGGCAGCAGUGGGGAAUAUUGGACAAUGGGCGAAAGCCUGAUCCAGCCAUGCCGCGUGAGUGAUGAAGGUCUUCGGAUCGUAAAGCUCUGUGGGAAGGGACGAAAAAGGCCUAACCUAAUACGUUAGGUCUUGACGGUACCUUCUUAGCAAGCACCGGCUAACUCCGUG